This is a long non-coding RNA of Monodelphis domestica (gray short-tailed opossum), 13316 nucleotides long. RefSeq lists it as uncharacterized. The record is from RefSeq and is a predicted model, not a curated record. NCBI's taxonomy places the organism in Eukaryota, Metazoa, Chordata, Mammalia, Didelphimorphia, Didelphidae.
AGGGGUCGGGGUCAGCCUGAAGAGAUAGGGGGUGAUCCUCAUAGUUUAGGGGACAAACUGACUAGGUACAUCCUGAUGGUAUCAAAGCAUAGCCUGGAGGUGUAUCUCUGCGUCCAAAGGGGAUAAUUCUCUCAAGGAUCUUUCUUAUCAUUAGCCUUUGAAGUCCAGGCCAACCCUUUCUCUAGCCUUAACAAGAACAAAAGGAAGCAGAGGAAUUUUCCUGUUUAUAGUUUGGCCUGAAAUGCUUCUAUAAUUUGGGGGUAUGAGGUAAACCUAGAGGCCCACAUCAGUAGGAUUUGAACUCCGGUCCUCUUAGUCCUAGCCACCACAUCAUUUUGGAAGAAGGUGAAAAGGAGGGCCCAAAGGCAACAGGAAAUCAAUCAAUCAAUCCCUACCCUCUGUGACUUCUGAUUCUCCCACUCCUACCUUCUUCCUGUCCAGGCUAUUUUCUUGAUUAGCUGUUUCAAGUUUGUCAGUAUUUAUGACAUUUAUUCAAUUCUUUAUCUCGGCUCCUUAAACAGGGCUCUUAUAGUCUUCUGCAACACCACUGAGAAAAGAAUAAUUAUUUUCUUUUCAAAUGCCCUCUCUUAAAAAAACAAUGGAUCUAAGGUCAUGAAGCUAUCUCAGACUCUUACUGUGUGACCCUGAACAAACCAUUUAAUCUAUCUCAGCCUCCUCAACUGUAAAAUGGGUAUAACAGUACCUAUUUCACAAGGUUGUUGUGGAGCUCAAAUGAGAUAUUUGUAAAGCAUUUAGAAAUUUGUACUCUUAUUCAACAUAAGCUAUUGCCUUUAAGAGUCUCUGGGAACAGUGACUUAGGGCCCCCCUUUCUCUCCUAGUAAGCCUCCCUGAUAUCUCUUAUCCUAACUUAAUGUAAGAAAACUUCUCUUGUAUAUACAAAUCGACACAACUAUAAAAUGAGGAUAAUAACAGCACCUACCUCAAAAGGCUACUGGGAGGAUUAGAUGAGUUAAUUAUUUGUGAAACCCUAACCAUAGCACCUGGCACUUAGUAGGGGCUCUAUAAACACUUAUUUCCUCUCUCUACUCUUAUAUGCAACAAUUAAGCAUUUCAAAUUAGGGGGAAAAAAGGGUUCUGGCUAAGUGAAACCCAAUUAUUUCAUUUAGGGCUGGGGUUUGUAACCUAGGAUCUGAGAACUUGGGCUUCUUUUAUAUUUUGGUUACUGGAUUUCAAUAUAAUUGGUUUUUUAAAAUAUUUCAACAAAUGAAUUUCAAAAUAAUUUAUUUCCUUUUUAAUUCCACCUAUUUUAUCUUGUUGCAUUUGAAGAUGGUAUUCUGAGGAGUCCACAGGCUUCACCAAGCUACCAAAGAGGUCCAUUACAAACACACACACACACACACAGAGGCUAAGAACUAUUAUUCUCUAGCCAUUCAGAUCCUCAGAGAGGUCUCAUUUCUACUCUCUAGGGACAUAGUCGUCUCCCAUUUUGCUAAAUGGAAACUAACUGCAGAAGUCUUCUAAAGCUGGGACACAAGACGAUUCACACUUGCACCAGCACCACAUCUCCUGCAGUCACUGUGAUAAGGGCUAAAUUCAAGUCAGAACAAAUGAGUCACAAUCAGGUUGCUUCAAACAAUGGCAUCAUCUUUUAAUUUAGAACAGCAUUUGGAUCAGGGUAAAAUUUCCGCCCUGAUAACCAGUUCCUGGAGUCCUUCCAAGGCAUUGCAUGUAGUAUCAGCAUUCUACCACUAGAUGGAGACAGAACCCUUGGAUGCUUGGGGAGGCUCCCAUGAUGCACUGCGGUGCAGGCCCCAAGCCACCUUCGUGGGUGAAGGUGUUGGAUUCAGGGCCUAGUGUUCAGAAUCCUUUCUGAUAUGCAGUGCCAGGGCAGCUGAGGGCCCUUCCCUUCCAAAGCAUGGGCUAGGAGGGAGGCCAAAGCCAAAUUGGAAAAGAGGAUUUGGAUUCUUUUUUUUUCUCUUUUCCUUUUUUUUUUAGAUUAGAUUCCAUUUGGCAAAAGCACAAGAUGAAGUAAAAAUGAGGGUUAAAUGUCCUUAGUUAACUCACCCCAAUGAAUGUUAAUUAAGUCAGAGGCUGGGAAAUGUGUACUGCCGAUCUUGUUCAGCACCAGCUAUGACUUUUAAAGGUCCUUGGGAACAAAUGAAGAGCCUCCUUCCCCCCCAAAUUAAGCCUCCCUGAUACCUUCUUAUCCAGACUUGUUUUUAAGAAGACUUCUCUGGUGCAUAACAUAGACAGCAAAUCCCUGCCCUCCCAGGGAAGUACUUCACUCCACCGAACCAGGGAAAUACUGGUACCCACCCUGGGAGGAAAAUGGGCCAUUGUUCUCCGCACCCGAGGUAAAAGUGGGGGAUGGGGAAGCUGCCUGGUAGAAUCUGAAUAUUCGAAACAGCCUUGAAGGUGAGCCAACUACUGGAAAUAACACUUUGGGGCUCUGAAAAGCCCGUGCUAUUUUUCCACACUUACAGGCAAUUAUCUGAGAAAUUAUUAUUGGCAAAUGGCUAUCAAAACAUUUUUUAAGGGUGUACUCUUGUGAAUAUUAAAAUACAUGUGUAGACAUAUAUGUAUAUAUUAAAUACUCGUUUUAAAAAUUACAAUUUAACAAAGCCUUUGUUUUCUUUAAAUGUAGGAAAUGUAGUAUUCUGACUAAUAAGUUAUUAUGAAUAAUUAUAUUGAGAAGCAGGCAUUUAAUCAGGACAUUGCUUCGACAAGCCAAGAAAAACAAUUAUAUUCUUUAACAGACACACCAUUAAAAAAUAUGUGUUUAUGUGUAUACCUAGGCAUAUUUGGCUACAUAGAUAUCUAGAUAGAUAGAAAUAGUUAGAUAUAUCUCAGGAAUGAACAACUAAUGGAUUGUUACAUGGCUUCUCAAGGUUCCUGUUUGCCCACCCUUAAUUUAUAAUAUAUAUUAUACAUGGUUUAAAACUUUCCAGAGAAUUAGAAUAUAGUAAUAAUAAUAACAUUGAUAUAAUGCUUUCUAUGUGCCAGGCACUGUACUAACUGCUUUAAAAAUAUUUUCUCAUUUUAUCUUCACAGCAACCCUGGGAGGUAGGUGCCACUAUUCUUCCCAUUUUAUAGAUCAGGAAACUGAGGCAAACAAGGGUUAAGUAACUUGCCCAGCACUCUAUCCAACAUGCCACCUAGCUGCCCCCAAAAGAUACUCAACCCCAAAUCUAAUAUAAAAAUAAAUCAUCUUCUUUUGAUGAUUCAGAAGGUACUCCAGGGAAGGGGGGGAGGGGAACCACUAACUUUAGAACCUAAAGACCCAAGUUCAGUUAUCUCUUACAAGCUAUAUAUGUCACCCUGAACAAGUCACAACCUCUGAAUCUGUUUCCUCAAGGGGAAGAUGGAGAUGAUAAUAUACUACUUAUCACUACAGGUGAAAUAAUAUAUCUAAAGUUCUUUGUAUACUACAAAGUGAUAUUUAAAUGUCAUCUAUUUUACAAGAUAAAAAUCAUUACUGUAUUAGAGAGAUAAAGAACCAGUUAAUAAGCAGUUCUAGGAGGCAAAAUAACAAAUUAUCUAGAACUUAUUUUCUAUUGCCAAGCCUGUCUAUAUAAUAAAUAUGCAUAUAUGUGUGUAUAUAUGUACAUAGAUACAUUAUCUUUCAUUUCUCUAAUCCUUCCCACUUCUGUCCUCUUGCUACCUCACCUUUGUUAACAUCAAGACAUAUAAAAGCUAAAAGCUCAAUGGAUAGAGUCAAGAUUAGAGAUAGGAAGUCCUGGGUUCAAAUUUUACCUCAGACACUUCCUAGCUGUGUGACUUGGGCAAAUCACUUAAUCCCUAUUGCCUAGGCCUUACUGUUCUUCUGCCUUGGAACCAAUAUUUAGUAUAGCAUCUAAGUCAAAAGAGAGAGUUUUUUUUUAAAUUUCGUUUAAAGCAUUUAAAGCCUUGAAAUAAAGAUACAAGGGCCAUAACUAGGUCUUAAAAUAAAAAGUAUUUUCCAGUGGAUUGCUUAAAAGUAUGCUAGCAGGUGCAGCUAGAUGGCUCUGUAAAUAGCAAGCCAGGCCUAGAGACAGGAGGCACCAGGUUCAAAUCUUGCCCCAGAUAUUUUCUAUUUGUAGGACCCAGGACAAAUCACUUAACCUGCAUGGCCUAACCCUUACCUCUCUUCUGCCUUGAAACCAGUAUUUAGUAUAGAAUCUAAGACAGGAGGUAAGGAUUUUUUUUUAAGUAUGCUAGGGUUUUUAAGUAUUUAUGGAAAACCUAGUAUAAUUGUUAUGCCUAUUAUUACUAACAGAUAGAUGCUUUCUUAAGAAUUUUAGAGGCAAUUUACAUAAGACCACAAGAAAAGGUUAAGGCCAGCCAAACUUAAAUUUCCAAAACAGUAUAAUAUAAUGAUUUAUAGAAAUCUCUUUUUAAGACCAACUGAAUGCCCCUAUUAGUAUGCUAUGAACAUGAUUUUCCCUGUCCUUUUUCCUAACAAAAGUUUUUAACCAAGACAAACUCCCUGUCAGAUGGAUUAUUAGCAAAAAGAAGUAAACAUUUUUAUAACUGAUGGAAUUUUAGAAACCUUCAAUAAGAUCUUAAGGAAACAAAUAUUCUCUGGGUAACUAACUGGCUUGUUGAGCAUUAUGGUAUUUUUUCCUUCUAUGCCAAUUUUCUAGUCACAGGAAAAAAAUUAAUCUUAUGGCUUUAGAAUUAUGCCUGACUUAGAGGCCAACAUGGCAGAUUAAGGGUAGUAUCCAGCUAACCUCUCCCAACAUUCCCCUCUAAAGAACUUGAACACCAAAUGACAUUUUAAAAAAAAAAUUGGAGGAGCAAAACCAACCAAAGGUCAGGGUGAAACAUUUUUCCAGCCUAAGAAAAUUACGAGGUCAGAAGGAAAAGUCCAUGGCAGAGGACAGAAGCCUGUUCAGAGAAAUGAAUGGCUGCAGCAACAGCACCCUUGGAUAAAUCAGGAUGAGAUUACAGAGGUUCCUUUGCUGGCACUGGGUAUAGCGGGUGCUGACUGGCAACUCUACUGCCCAAAUGCAGUUCUGGAUCACAGAUCCAGGGCACAGAGGAGCGCUUCUGGUCAGUCACAAGGGAGCAGGGGUCCUGGUUACGGUUCCAGGGCCAAGAAAAAUGCAAGCAUUCUUGGCUGCAGGGGACCAGGGUUUCUUCUGGGAUAAAGAACAGGAACAGGCCAAGAGAGCAGUGACCAUACCUCUCCCAAGAGCAUAUCACCUUAGAACCACUGAAAACCUGUACAUUCCCCAGAACUAGCUCUGAAAAGAGCAACACAAAACAGCUUAAGGCUUACGACAAUGGCUCCCUACCCCAAGGUUAGCAGAGCUCAACUUUAACAUAAAGUUCAAAGUUAAGAAAUAGGCUGGGAAAGAAGCAAACAAUAAAAAUAGAACUUGAUCCUAAAAAAGCAACUAUGGAGGCAAGGAAGCCCAAGAUAAACAAACUUAGAAGAUAGCAUUGUGAAAACAGCUACCAAAAAAGCCUCAAAGAAAAUUAUAACUGAAGCCAAUCCCAACAAGAAUUCCCAGAAUUGCUAAAGAGAUAAAUGGUGGAGGAAAAAUUGAACAAAGAAAUGACAGUGAUGCAAGAAAAUUAUGAAAAAAGGAUUAACAGUUUGUCAAAUGCGACCCAAAAAAAAACUGAAGAAAAUAGCACUGAAAAAACAGAUGUGGCCAAAUGGUAUUAUAAUUAAAAUUAUUUUGAGAGACCGAUUUUGGAUAAAAAUAUCAAUUUAUUGAUUAGGUCAGCAUCAUAACCAAUUAAAUGACAGAUCAAUGGCCCUCUUGACAACUAGAGACCUCAAAGGCCCUGGAUCUGAUACCGAUCUGAUACCGAUAUAUACUUUGAGAAGCUCAUUAUUCAGCUCUUCCCUUGAACAUACCAAGAUGUCUCCAAUUGGUAAACAGGAGGUGGUCCAUCAAAGGUGGUCCCUUCACCACACCAACAGAUAGGUAAUGGUUUGUAACAUAUACAGGAAAAAAAAUCAUUGUAGAGGGUAGCUUGGUGGCUCAGUAGAGAGAGAGGAGAGGGUAGCUUAGUGGCUCAGUAAUGGUUUGUAACAUAUACAGGAAAAAAAUCAUUGUAGAGGGUAGCUUGGUGGCUCAGUAGAGAAAGAGUCAAGUCUAGAGAUGGGAGGUCCUGGGUUCAAAUCUGACCUCAGAAACAUCCUAACUGUAGGACCCUCGGCAAGUCAUUUAUUGCUUAGCCCUUGCUGCUCUUCUGCCUUAGAACCAAUACAAUGAUUCGAAGAUGAAGGUAUGGGUUUAAAAAAAAUGAUGUGAUGAGGGAGAUGGUUUCAGAAGUAUAUGGCAAGACUUAUAUGAACUAAUGCGAAGUGACAUUAGAAGAAACAGGAAAUCACUAUACACAAUAACAGCAAUAUUGAAAAGCUCCUCAACUGUAAAAGACUUGGCUACUCUGAUCAAUAUAAUGAUCCAAGACAAUUCCAAAGGAUUUAUAAUGAAAGAAGCUAUCUACCUCCAGAGAGAGAACUGCUCAACUCUGAAUGCAAAAAAAGGUAUAAAUUUCUCAUUUGCUUAAUUUUUCUUGAUUAAAAAAAAUAUAUUGCCAGUAUAGAAAUGUGUUUUGCAUGAUCUCACAUGUAUAAAUACUAUCAUAUUCCUUUCCGUCUCAGUGAGUAGGAGAGAAGACAGGAAAGAAUUUGGAACUCAAAAUUUAAAAAGAAAAGAGUGUUUAAAAUAAAUAUUUUUAAAGAAUUAUAUCUGAUUUUUUUAACCAAAAAUUACCUCCUUAUUCACCAAAUAUGGCUUCAGAUGAUUUUUUUAUUAUUUCCAAAAGUUAAAUCCAAUGUCAAAGAAAGAUUUGGCAAAGUUGAAAAUUCUUUUAAGUGUUUAAAAAGAAUUUGCCAUUGAUUCUAAAAAUAAUUCCAAAAACAAUUUGGAUUUAUACAAUAAAAAUCAAUAAAUUAUUCAUAUCCUUUAACCCAGAGAUCCCACUAUGAUGCAUAUAUCUCCAAAGAGGUGAAAGAAAGGUCCCAUGUAAAACAAAAUAUUCUUAACUAUUCUUUGUGGUAGCAAAAAUUGCAAGGAAAAUGAGUACCCACUGAUUGAAGAACAAAGAAAUUUUAGUCUGUAAAUGUAAUAGAAUAUGAUCAUGCCAUAAAAUGACAAAGGAAGCAUUUUAAAAAUUAGGUAUAUGGGGGGCAGCUGGGUAGUUCAGUGGAUUGAGAGCCAGGCCUAGAGAUAAGAGUUCUUGGGUUCAAAUGUGACCUCAGAAAAUUCCUAGCAGUGUGACCCUGGGAAAGUCACUUCAUCCCCAUUGCCUAGCCCAUACUGCUCUUUUGUCUUGGAACCAGUACACAGUAUCUAUUCUAAGAAAAGGGUUUAGGAAAGACAAAAACAAAAGGCAUUAUUUAAAUAUGAACUCUUAACAUUUUAACAAUAUUAUUUAUUAGGAUAAUCGCAGAACUUUUAGAGUUGAAAGGGACCUCAGUGGCUAUAUCUAAUAUAACUUAUACCUGAAAAAGAAUCUCUAUUACCACAUACCAAGCAAGUGGUCAUUCAGACUGCUAGAAUCCUCUAGGGAGGGGAAAUUCACCACUUCCGGAAACAGUUCAGACUACUUAUGACUAUCUCUAAUUAUUAGGAAAUUUUUCCUUAUGUCAAGCCUAAAUUUUCAUCUUUGUGACUUACAACAUUGCUCCUAGUUCUGCCCUUUGGAACCAAACAAAAUAGGUCUAAUUAUUGUAAAUUAUUUUAUUUGACUGAAUUGCCAAAGAGUAGAUAGGAACUAUUCUCAGACAAAAAAAAAAUCCACAACAAUGAAAGUCAAGCACUACAAAAGUAAAUUCACUCCAUCCCUGGCCAAGAACCUGUAGUACUUAUAUUUUAAAUUAUGGGAUUGACAUACAAAUCUUGUUCCCAGACACCAUCUUUUUAAUCAGUCUUUCACCUCUCUAAUCAGUUUUUUCAUUUCCUUUAUUCCUUGCCUUCACUAGGUAGCAGACCUGGAAACAACAUUGUGCUCUAGGGUUCUCCUUGUACAAGGCUCUGAAACCUUGGGCAACGCUUUCUAAGGUCCUGGUAGCAGUGUCAUUUAAACCCACAUGAAUCAUCAGAAGUAGGCCAUACUCAUCUGGAUUGACUAGUCUUCUUAGGAAGUUUUCUGACAUCCCAGUAUGACACCAGACCUCUCAUCAUCAAUAAAGAACUAACUCAGUUCCCCAACAAAGAGCCCGCAACCAGCAGUUCUUCCUCCCAUCCUUCCUCCCCAGAGCAUCCAGCUCCCUCUUCUGGAGAACAGUCAUCCUCUCACUCAUUCCUGACAUAAGUCAAGUUCUCCAUGUCUUAACUUUUACUCUCUUUUUUUUUUCCAGAUUGAAGUCCCUCUUAACAUUUUUUAAAGGAACACUCCAUUUUCCUCAAUCACCCAAAGGAAGUAUGGAGAGAAGGGCUGGCUACUCACUUUGAAGAACCAGCACAGCAGAGCAGAUAGAGCAUUCACAGCUCACAGCUCAUGUCAGGCAUUUAUUGCAUGACCCUGAACAUCACUUAAACUCUAUUUUCUCAACAACAAAAUGAGUGUAACAAUAUUGAGGCAUUUACAUCACAGGACCAUUGGGAGCAUCAGAUGAGAUAAUGUAUGUAAAAAGCUUGGAGGUCUUAAAGUACUCUCUAAAUAACAAUUAGUAGUAGUAGUAGCAUCCUCAGCAAUGCCUAUCAUGCAGUAGGUACCAAAUAAAUAUCUGAAGAAUUUAAAGAAUUCCAAAAGCAAAACACAAGUCUCUGAUGUAUUUUGUGUAUUAUCUAUAUUUAGAUCUGGUGAGGAUUUCAUGGUAUGGCACAAUGGAAAGGGCAUUGAUUCUAGAGCCAGAAGCCCUGGGUUUGAAUUCUCCCUAUUUGACAAGAGGCAUUUAACCUCCCUAUACCUCAGUUUCCUCAUCUGCAAAAAGAAAAAGUUGAACAAGGCAGAUUCUAAACUCAUUUCAGUUCAAAAACUAUUUGGUCCUAUGAUCCUGUGACAUUUUGCAGGGCUUUCAAAAUUUACCACAUAAACAUAUUAGCAUGUUAUUACUAAUAAGAAGGCUGUCUUUCGUCUGGAAAAGUGGAUUAAGGUAGUUUAACCCUUAGAAAGAUUUCCUCAAAAUUCUCUCCUCAUUUACAAUGAUUUGCAACAAGAACAGCCCUCUAUCUGUAGUAUGAUUGGAACUAGGUAUACUGGAGUGGAAGACUUAGGUUAGAAUCUUGGCUCUACUACUUAUCAUCAGUGUGCCCUUACCAAGACAUUGAGCCUCUUGGAAUGUCAGCUCCUGUAAAUGUAAAUGUAAAAUGGAUGAUUUCUACCUCUAAAGUCCAAUCAUUAUCAUUAUGCUUCUAGGCAUGGUCACAGCACAUGGAUAGAAUUGGCACUUACCAAUAAGAAGCAAUCGUUUAAUUAAAAAGUUUUUGCACAAACAAAACCAAUGCAACCAAGACUUGGAGGAAAGCUGAAAGCAAGGGAAAAAAUUCUGCAGCAAGUAUCUGAUAAAGGCCCAAUUUCUCAAAUACAUAGAGAACUGAGUUGAAUUUAUAAGAAUAGAAGACAUUCUCCAAUUGAUAAAAUGGUUAAAGAAUAUGAACAGGCAAUUUUCAGACAAAAAAAUCAAGGUUAUCUAUAGUCCUAUGAAUAAAUGCUCUAAAUCACUCUUGAUUAGAGAAAUGCAAAUUAGAACAAAAAUGUACCAAAUCAUACCUAUCAAAUUAGCUAUAUGACAGAAAAGGAAAAUGGCAAAUGUUAGGAUGUAGAAAUUAAUGCUCUCUUGGUGAAGUUGUGAACUGGUCAACUAUUCAGAAGAGCACUUUGGAAUUAUACCUGACAGGCUAUAAAACUGUGCAUAUUCUUUGAUCCAGCAGUACCACUACUAGUUUGUUUCUCAAAGAGAUUUUUUUAUUUAAGAGAAAAGGACCUAUGUGUAUAAAAAAUGUAGCAGCUCUUUUUGUAGUAGCAAAGAACUGGAAAUUGAGGGGCUAUUCAUCUAUUGAAGAAUUGAAGAAUGGCUAAACAAGUUGUGGCACAUGACUGUAAUGGAAUAUUAUUAUGCCAUAAGAAAUGACAAGAAGGUUGAUUUCAGAAAAACCUAGAAAGGUCUACAUGAACUGAUACAAAGUGAAGUAAGCAGAACCAGGAGAACAUUGUACAUGGUAAUAGCAAUACUGUAUGAAGAACAAUUGUAAAUGACUUAACUAUUCUUAGUAAUACAGUGACCCAAGAUGAUUCCCAACACCUAGCAAUGAGAAAUGCCUCCUGACUAAGAAUCGAUGGAGCCUGAAUACAGAUCAAAACAUACUAUAUUGCAUACUAUAUAAUAUGUUUCAGUUUUUUCUUCAUUUUUGUUUUGUUUUUUUGUUCAAAUCCUCUUCCACAAAAUGACUAAUAUGGGAAAAUGUUUUAUGUUAUUGCACAUGUAAAAUCUUUAUCAGAUUGCUCGCUGUCUUAGAGAGCGAGACACAGUGAAAAAGAGAAUUUGGCUCAAAUUUUUUUUAAAAGGUUAAAAAUUGUUUUUAGGUGAAAUUAAGAAAAAAUAAUUAAAAAAAAACAAUCAAUUAUUCAAUGCAGACGGCUAAUCUGCUUACUCAUUUCCUGCAGCUUCAUAUCCCAACAGGUUAUCAGUGGAUAGAAGACUGGGCUUGGAGUCCAGACAACUUGAGUUUAUAUGCAACCUCAGAUACUUCCUAGCUGUGUAAUACUUAGCAAGUUUUUUAACCUGUUUCCUCAACUAUAAAGUGGGAGAUAAUAAUCAAAGCACCUACUUCACAGAGUUGUUGUAAACAUCAAUAUUUAUAUAGUACUUAUACGUUUGUGGUACUAGUGAAACAUUCAGGUAGAAAUGUAGCUAGUUGGAAAAGUGGAUCUGGAGCUUAUAAGAGGUAAAGACUUAGAAAUAUAUAUUUGGGAGUUAUCUGCAAAGAAAUGGAGACUGGCUCCAUGGAAUUAAUUCAACAAUAAGAGAUUAAUGGAACAGACUAGACAAGGGAGAAUCAGAAAUAAUAGAAUUUAAUAAACAACCCAAUGUUUGUUUGAUACAGAGGAAAACAUAAAUUACCAAGGGAAAAAUCUCCUUAUUUAAUAAAAACUUCUAGGAAAACUGGAAAGCAAUCUGGCAUAAAAUUAGGCUUAGGCCACUACUUUGCACCAUAUUUUACAAUAUAUUCUGAAUGGACAUAUACACAUAACCUUAAUAUUAAAACUCAUAAUAUUAAAAAAUUUAAAAGAUCAUUAGUUUAUCAUGGCUAUGGAUAAAAGAUGUAUUCUUAACCUACCAAGGGAUAGAGGCAAAUAUAAAAGAUAAAAUAGAUAAUUGAUUAUAUAAAAUUGAAAAGCUUCUGCACAGACACAAGUAAUACACCUAAGAUAAGAAAGGAAGGAGUUAAACAGGGGAAAAUAUUUGCAUUAAAUUUCUCUGAUAAGGGCUUGGUAUCCAAGAUAAAUAAACAAUUAGUAAAUAUACAUGAUUAAUAGUCAUACUCCAAUAUAUCAGUCAAAGAAUCUGAACAAACAGUUCUGAAAAAGAACUGCAAAUUACUCACAAUCACAUGAAAGAAUGUUCCAGAUCACUAAUAAUUAGAGAAAUACAAAUCACAACAACCCUGAGGUUUUACUUCCCACCCUCCAAAUCAAGAAAGAUGAUAAAAAAUGGCAAUAGUCAAUGUUGUAAGAGUUGUGGAAGGAUAGACACCUUGAUACAUUUUAAUGAAACUAUGAAAUGGCACAACCAUAUUGGAAAGCAAUUUGUAAUUAUGCAAAUAAAAUUACUAAAAUCUCUAUACUCUUUGAAUCAGAUAUUCCAUUACUGAGCUUAUACCCCAAGGAAGCAGUAAGAAUAAGAAAGCACUCAUACACAACAAAAUAUUUAUAACAGCACUUUUUAUGAUAGCAAAAAUUUGGAAACAAAGCCCAUCAACUGGAGAAUGGCUACACAAAUCAAGGUACUUGAAUGUAAUGGAAAGAUUGCUGAACUGGAAGAAACGAUGAAUGUGAUGAAUACAAGGAAGCAUGGAAAUUUCUAUAUUAAUUAAUCCAGAGUGAAGUAGAAGCAAGAAACCAGUAUACAUGGAGAUUACUGCAAUGUAAAUGGAAAGAACAGCUACACAUCAAAAAGUCAAAAAUGAAUGUAAACAGAAUUGCAAAGAUCAAGCAUAACAUGAAGAGAUAAGAGAGGACAUUCCCAACCUACCCUUCUGUAGAUGUGGGAGGUCCAUAGGUAUUACACAUUACACAGAUUUUAGACUUUUUUGAAUGUACUAAUCCAUUAUGCUGAUUUUUUUCCUCUCUCAAAAAAAAAAAAUCCCAACUACUGUUUAUAUAAUAGGAUGGUUCCCUGGGAGGGGUUUGGGAAAUUUGGGAAAACAACAAUGAAGUAAGAAACAGAAAUUAUCAGUAAAAAACUUAUUUAAAAAUUCAACUAUCAAUGUGGCUACACAGUCAACAUUUUUUAAAAAUUCUUUGCCUUCAAGGAGCUUAAAUUCCACUGGGAGAGAAAGAGAAGAUUCUCUUGUUUUUGCUUAUUUUUAUCAUUGGUACUAAGCAUAGUACCUGGCAUAUAGUGUUUAUUAUGUGUAUUUUAUUAUUUAUUAUUAAUAUUAUUAUGUAUCAUAAUAACAUAAUACUUAUGUUUGUUUAUGUCCAUUUGUUAACUGCUAAAUGACUGAUGAGUAAUUAAUUUUGUUUUUAUUGGAUAUUUUACUUAUCACAUCAAGGGAUCAGUCUCGGUCAGGCUCAGCCCACUAUAUCACAGGGAGAGAAAUUAGCCUUUGUAAGGGACAGGGGAGGCAUUUUUUUCUCUGUAUCCAGAGGAAAAUAAAGCAGGUAAUCAUGCUGAGAAAUUCCAGAGAAUGGAGGGAGGAGAGCUGAGGUCAGAUCAGGUGGCCUCAGUCUUCUCAGUGAUGCAGGAGCUAAAGGCCAUCUUCUAGUUUUCUGGGAUGCCUGCGAUGUGGUUGGUAGUGAAGAAAGAAUAAAAGGUAUCCCACAGUUUGUGUGGGAAAUGGGAUAAGAAGCUGAUGAAGGUUAAGUAGAAAGAAUAUCUACUUACAGUGUGGACCCUGCUGGGGUAUAUACCAUAAAUAGUAUUAGUGAGUAAAUGUUUUUACUUCAGCUUCCUUAAGGUCCUUUUCAUUACUAAAAUUCUAUGUCUCUGUGUAUAGAAAAUAGGAAUUAGCAAGGAUUCGGUUUCUAUAUUUUAAUAAAGCCAAAGGUAGAAAACUAUUGCUAUGGUAUAACAAAUCUAAUAUAUUCUGUGAAUAGGAAAGAGAUUUCUUGAUAUUUCACUUGUUACUUAAGUAAUUUAUGAUUCUAUGGCUUAAACAACAUUCCUAUGUAAUAUUUUAUGAAAGAAAAGAUUUCCAAACCUGACAUCCACAGUGUCAUUGGAUUCAUGGUCAAAAACCUCAAAA